ACGGGAGGCAGCAGUGGGGAAUAUUGCACAAUGGGCGAAAGCCUGAUGCAGCGACGCCGCGUGAAGGAUGAAGUAUUUCGGUAUGUAAACUUCUAUCAGCAGGGAAGAAAAUGACGGUACCUGACUAAGAAGCCCCGGCUAACUACGUGCCAGCAGCCGCGGUAAUACGUAGGGGGCAAGCGUUAUCCGGAUUUACUGGGUGUAAAGGGAGCGUAGACGGUAUGGCAAGUCUGAAGUGAAAGCCCGGGGCUCAACCCCGGGACUGCUUUGGAAACUGUCGAACUAGAGUGUCGGAGAGGCAAGUGGAAUUCCUAGUGUAGCGGUGAAAUGCGUAGAUAUUAGGAGGAACACCAGUGGCGAAGGCGGCUUACUGGACGGUAACUGACGUUGAGGCUCGAAAGCGUGGGGAGCAAACAGGAUUAGAUACCCUGGUA
Molecule: ribosomal RNA, 434 nt
Filed under: uncultured Clostridium sp.
Lineage: Bacteria; Bacillati; Bacillota; Clostridia; Eubacteriales; Clostridiaceae
Description: partial 16S ribosomal RNA
Rfam family: Bacterial small subunit ribosomal RNA
Source: RNAcentral